GGCUCUGUGGCGCAAUGGAUAGCGCAUUGGACUUUAGGCUUCUGAAUGUGAGGUGAUUCAAAGGUUGUGGGUUCGAGUCCCACCAGAGUUG
This 91-nucleotide transfer RNA is filed under the name Salmo salar (Atlantic salmon). It matches the Rfam family "tRNA". From Rfam's summary of the family: Transfer RNA (tRNA) molecules are approximately 80 nucleotides in length. The record is from Rfam by way of RNAcentral. Lineage: Eukaryota; Metazoa; Chordata; Actinopteri; Salmoniformes; Salmonidae.